Non-coding RNA from Lactuca sativa (garden lettuce), 1114 nucleotides. Lineage: Eukaryota; Viridiplantae; Streptophyta; Magnoliopsida; Asterales; Asteraceae. The record is from RefSeq and is a predicted model, not a curated record.
AUACAUCGGAAAUGAAGUUUAUCAAGCCCCCAAUCAAUUCUUCGUCUUUAGCUCUUCUGUGUUAGCUCGUAUCAACCAACAGGUGAGGUGAUCGUUGGGGAUUUGAGUUAACAUCCGAUUAUUUGAUCAUCCAACAGGUGCAUCAGGGUGAAUGUGAUGAUGGUGGACGAAGUAAAGGGAGAUGAUGAUACUGUUAAUAAUAUCAUCAUCAAGAAGAAGAAAAGGGUGUUCUUUUUGGAUGUAAACCCAAUCUGUUAUGAUGGUAGCACCCCGAGUUUACACUCUUUUGCUCACUGGAUUUUCCUUUUCUUCUCCGAAGUCAGCCUUACAGACCCUGUUAUUGUCGCUGCUGUAGUACUAUAUCCAUUCAACAAGUGUGAUCCACUCUCUAAUUUAAGACUUAGAUGCAUUUUGGGUGAUGAAGCAGAUGGUGUUCCUAGAAUUCAACAUCUGGUGCCUGGUUUUGGCAUGAAAACUGCCUUAAAACUUAUAAAGAAAAUUGUCCUGCUUCUGCAAUACCUGUGGUUUUUAAUGCUUUGAAAUUAUUUGUAUUGCAGGGAUGUUAACGUUAGGAUACAUGAAGAGUGGUUGCAUAAGAGACACAAACAGAACGAUUCAGAAAUUAUAUCAAGCUUCCUUGAUUUAUUGGGGGAAACUCGUUGUUCCAAAGCUCACUGGAUUCAUAUCUAGCCCUUGUGAAACUUUCUCUGUGUAGGCUCUUGGAGUCCCUGUUCACCAUGAUGUAUAUCAGAUUAGAGCAUCCCAUAUACCACCUAGAAAACUGGUUUAUUGACCCAUCAAGGAAUUAAAGCCAAGAUAGCCAUUAAAUGGGGAAAGCCUCAUUUCCUUUACUUUUUGUAUUAAGUUCAGUUGUUUUUUUUUUUUGUUUUUUUUUGUUUUUUCUGUUGAAGUCAAAAAGAAACUCAUGUAUAUAGCUAAUUGGAUUGACCGAAGGGUAAAUUGGUCAUUUAUUCAUAUUUUAGAUAGUUCAUUAGUUCAAUAAGGAAAUACCCCUUUAUAGUUUAUAGUUUACUUAAUUAAAUGACCAUUUAAUUAAAGGUUCAAACGGUUAUUACUUGUAUUCAGUCUCAAUCGAAAGAUUUUAUGCAUAAAA